This 384-nucleotide ribosomal RNA is filed under the name uncultured eukaryote. RNAcentral describes it as "SSU rRNA". It matches the Rfam family "Eukaryotic small subunit ribosomal RNA", at positions 587 to 972 of the family's 1831-position model. The record is from RNAcentral.
AGCUCCAAUAGCGUAUAUUAAUGCUGUUGCGGUUAAAAAGCUCGUAGUUGGAUCUCGGCGGGUUGGGGGCGGUUCGAUUUUGUCGCUACUGCCCCAUUAACUCGUGUUUUUGGCGGAGGUUUUGGGGUGCUCUUAACCGAGUGUUCCAAGGCGCCGCCAGGUUUACUUUGAAAAAAUUAGAGUGCUCAAGGCAGGCUUUACACGCCUGAAUAUUCGUGCAUGGAAUAAUAGAAUAGGAUGUCGUUUCUAUUUUGUUGGUUUUCGGAAAUCGACAUAAUGAUUAAUAGGGACAGUCGGGGGCAUUAGUAUUCAGACGACAGAGGUGAAAUUCUUGGACCGUCUGAAGACUAACAACUGCGAAAGCAUUUGCCAAGAAUGUUUUCA